This 363-nucleotide long non-coding RNA is filed under the name Androctonus crassicauda. The record is from RNAcentral. Lineage: Eukaryota; Metazoa; Arthropoda; Arachnida; Scorpiones; Buthidae.
CUCUUUUUAUUUCCUGUUUUAGCUCUCGAAGUCCCUUUUAGCUCUCGAAGUCACCUACGACUUCGAGAGCUUGUGCCUGUCUUUUAAAAUAGAACCAAUGUGUUUGGUGUUCUAUAGGUUCUUACUGGCCAAUAUACCAUCAGCUCAACAAAUAGCUCCAUUCCUAAGGGAAUUAGCUAAUCUUAUCUACCACAACUCAUACUUCUGUUUCAGAGAAAGGUUUUACCACCAGACCACAGGAAGUCCAAUGGCGGGCCCUCUGACUGAAAUAUUCUUGAGGAAUGUAGAAGACCCAAUCCUCCAAAAGUUGAGCCAAGCAUCAAAGUAUAUCUUAGAUAUGUGGAUGACAUCUCCACCCUGUGG